Molecule: long non-coding RNA, 2271 nt
Organism: Nothobranchius furzeri (turquoise killifish)
Lineage: Eukaryota; Metazoa; Chordata; Actinopteri; Cyprinodontiformes; Nothobranchiidae
Source: Ensembl
CUGAGGUGGACUCUUAUCAGAACGCCUGGGAGGUUCAGCGGAUCAGCUGGUGCUGAUCCAGAACAGAUGCAUCCUCAGAGACUCAGAACUCCUGAGUCACCUUAUAGAGGAGAAUGGAUCGGCCAGCUUCCGUGUGUGAUCCAAAGCCUGGAACCAACAUGGUGGAAUACCUCCACAAGGCCAAGCCCACAAGACCAUUCCCCUAUGUUCUGACAUUGGGAAAUGAUACACAGCAUGUGUCUCAGGCCUUUGUCAUCAUUGCUGAUCAGGCUGUGGAACAUGACACACUGCUUCAGGCCGUCGAUGGAAAGGCAUUCUUUAUUUUAGACAUUGAAUACCCGAGGCAGUGUGAACACGUCUGGAAAUUCCUGCAAACCACCGUCUAUGAAAUCCCAGGAGGGGAGUCGAAACUAGUAACGUUUCUGCAGAGUAGAAUACGUGCUAGCAAAAGAAGCAAACAGGUAUUUGUAAAAUGUACUCUUGACCAUUUAAAUGUUGUUUUUAUUUUAGCACUGAGUUACACGUAUUUCAGUGUAAAUUGGUGCAGCUCUUGAUGUGAAGUCAUUGGAACUUUUAUAUUGUUUACAUUUAUAUGAAUAAAUUUCAAGGCAGUGACUUGUAAAGAUUUCAGUAUUGUUGAAGUUUUAUUGUAUUGUAUAUGCUUUACGUGACCAAGUCUAGCAUGUAUGUUUUGAUAGUUGAGUAUGGAUAGGUGCAAUUUUCUGUCUUCUAAAAUGCACUGUAUGUAAUGUGUUAGAAAUAAUUUGGCAUAUUGACCAAACAUUUCGAUUGAUUACUGAACAUUAUGUUGUUGAAACAACCCAUAGUUUAAUUAAUUUGACCCAGCAUUUAGGUAGGGUAAAUAACACGUAUGUGUGGUUGAAUUUACCCAGAUUUGUGGCUAUUUUGACCCGGAAUUUGGGUGGAAUAUUUAACUCAUCUGCUGGGUUAAAAUGGAGUAACCCAUCUUGCUGGGUUGAAUUAACUACUGCUGGGCUGGUGCAAUAUUGCUCCAGCGGCUGGGUUAAAAACCAGCCCAAAUUGGGUCAUUUUUAACCCAACUGUUUUUAAUGAGAUGGUGUCCUGUGCAGCUCCUUGGUGCAGAACACCCUCCCCUGUCUUCAUCUAACAAGACAGCUUCCUCAGCAGCUCCUGCAGAUGAACCCUGAGGUGGAAGACAUGCUGAACAACAAAGAUGUCAUAAACAAGGUGUUUGAGUGUGCUUCGUGGCAAAACUAGACACAUAAUUAACAAAAUUUAACAUCUUGUGCCCAAAAUGUUGUAUUUUUGACUCCAGGUUCUAGGACUCAUAAGGAAUCCUGACAUGAAUGACGGUUUGGUUCUGGAGGACAAUCUUUCAAACACCACAGCUGCUUCUGAUGUACUUCAGAAACCAGAAGCACAAAGCCUCAGAAGCACAAAGCCUCAAUCUAGUCUCAAAACACCACAGGUAAAACAUCAACUGUGAAAUGUCUGAAAAAAUAUUUCAGAUGCUUACGUUUGCUGCAUUUUUUAAAGACAUCAUCUGUAAACCAUCCAGAGGCGACGCCGGUUCUCUCCUGUGACUCCACAGAACCCCUCAGAGGGCUGAUUGCUGCUACCAGAACUGCUUCCAGCUCUCAUAGAACCGUCACCGCAGGCAAAAACACAACAUUAACCUACAAAUGACCCAAAACUAAAACUAAAUAGCAUCUAAACUGUAAGAAAAGAACAUUUAUGUUCUUAAUUCUGUAUUACUAGAAAGUUAUUAAGAUUUUUAUUAUAAUAAGCCGUUUCUACAUGCUUCUGCUCAUCCCUGCUGCAGGUAUGCAGUCUGUCCUGCAAGAGAUCACAGCCAGUCCAGGUGUGAUGCAAGGGCGUCAGUUUGUUUUCAGAAUUGCUGGGGACAAUAGCCAUACACUUGAGUGGGGCUUAAAAAUUGCUGGGGACAAUAAAGUAGGCUAGCACAGGGGUCAGCAACCCGCGGCUCUGGAGCCGCAUGCGGCUCUCGGUGCUUGUAAAAUAAUGAAUGGAUAUUUAAAUAAAAUGCUUUAUAUUUUACUGCAUUAAUUUUACAUCUGUAUGCCAAUUCUAAAUGUAAAGAUUGUCUGCGUAAACCUGAACAGGUCCAACCCGGUCUGUGAGACCGGGUUGACGCGUCACGCUUGUGCGUAAUCAUGCGCUUCUGAGCUGCUUUCUGACCUUCCCCACCUACAAAGUUUAAUUACAACAAUCAAACGUGACAGAGCCUGGAUUUGUAUUCUGAACAGUCUAAACAUGUUUUAAAAAGAA